This 26-nucleotide non-coding RNA is filed under the name Cricetulus griseus (Chinese hamster). The record is from RNAcentral. Lineage: Eukaryota; Metazoa; Chordata; Mammalia; Rodentia; Cricetidae.
CUGCAAAGGGGUCACAAUUGGCAGAG